UGUUUUAGCACCCUAACGUGACUAAUGUUAAGUAAGGACGCGUAGGUACAGCGCAGAAUCACAGGGUUCAACCGGGUAUAAAUUUCAUCGUGAAAGCCAACUUUUUCAAGUCACCCUGUAGCUGCAUUGGUAGCAGUGUCGUAUCAUCGUAACAACAUGAUACGAUCAACGUGGUUAUUAACUUGACUGCAUGGAAGCUACACAACAUCUUACAAAUACUGAUAUGGACUUUGAAGGACGACGCCAGUUUAUCUGGAGGGUCUUUAUCAUGGAAUAACAAUGCAGCAGGAUGACUUCAACUAGGACUGGCAAAAAAAAUUUUUUCAAUUAUUAAUAGAAAAAUUAAAAAAAAAAAAGUAUUGAGCUUUCUUCAUCUAUAUUUGGCCGAGGAUUUCCAAUAUGUUUCAUUUUGGUCUAUACUGUACGCUGAAAGUACCUGAGCCCUUCAUCACCAUACGGGAUGCAAUCUCCUUCAGGAUAAAGGCAUAUUACUUUAGUGUGAGCCCUUCCAUUGUAUAUAGCCGCUGCCUUCAAGACGUAUAUUGGUAAAGCACAAGCAGAAUCGAUCUACUGGAAGCAGAAUCUUUGAAGUUUAUUGGAUCCUUGUGGUAUGCUGUAGCCUUCGACAUACAAGAUGCGAGUGCUUCAGAAGAGGGAUCACAAAUCUUUGGUAUACGGGAAGCCGAACAAAUAUAUUUAGACAAAGCUCGAGACAGAAUCCCAAACAAUGACUGAAUUAAAAUUGCGAAGCUGAAUUUAUGCAGAUGCAAUUCUAGAUAUAAGUAGUUUAAUUUAAACGUCUUAAUUAAGACAAUGGAACCCAUACAAGAAGCUGGCUGAAAGAAUCAAAAUCUCAAAUUCAUACGUCUCAACUAAGUCGUUCGAAGGAAUAAGGAUUAACAAUCCUUCCUUCACAGGAAGCUGAAACCAUGAAGCGAAUAUGUCUAGGUGAUUUAAGAAGAAUUCGAGUGCCUUGGAGAAAAACUGAAAUAGGAUACCGAAGUCUCAGAAGAGGAAUGCUUGCAUACGAUAAAAUGAACUUGCAAGGUUCCAAGAGAUGGACAAUCCUUUGAUCCAGGAAACGGAACCCUUCAAAUGGUUCGGCAAAAGUUUCCAGAGAAGAUUUAUAUAGUUCCAAAAAGUGUGAAGAAACCUCAAAAUUUUGGUUGAUUCAAAAAUAAGGAUGGUAGGUGCAGAGGGAUCAGGAUGAACAAUCCUUCCCCUCACCGGAAGCUGAAACCAUGAAGCGAUAAGGAAUAGGAGCGUGCUAAAGGAUAUCGGAAGUCUUAGAAGAGAGGAAUGCUUGCAUACGAUAAAAUUAACUUGCAAGGUUCCAAAAGAUGAACAAUCCUUUGAUCCAGAAAACAGAACCCUUCCAGUUUCCAGAGAAGAUUUUCCUGAUGAGAAGAUUAAGUGAAGAGACCUUCAAACUGUAGUUGAUAC
Molecule: long non-coding RNA, 1443 nt
Organism: Harmonia axyridis
Lineage: Eukaryota; Metazoa; Arthropoda; Insecta; Coleoptera; Coccinellidae
Exons: 3
Source: RefSeq, a predicted model, not a curated record